This 426-nucleotide ribosomal RNA is filed under the name uncultured bacterium. RNAcentral describes it as "bacterial SSU rRNA". It matches the Rfam family "Bacterial small subunit ribosomal RNA", at positions 356 to 773 of the family's 1533-position model. The record is from RNAcentral.
GGGGAAUCUUGCGCAAUGGGCGAAAGCCUGACGCAGCAACGCCGCGUGAGUGAUGAAGGUCUUCGGAUCGUAAAGCUCUGUCGGCAGGAAAGACGGGGAGCAUGGCCAAUAUCCAUGUUCUUUGACGGUACCUGCAAAGGAAGCACCGGCUAACUCUGUGCCAGCAGCCGCGGUAAGACAGAGGGUGCAAGCGUUGUUCGGAAUUAUUGGGCGUAAAGGGCGCGUAGGCGGCGCUGUAAGUCAGGUGUGAAAUCCCAGGGCUCAACCCUGGAAGUGCGCCUGAUACUGCAGUGCUUGAGUCUCGGAGAGGGUAGUGGAAUUCCCAGUGUAGAGGUGAAAUUCGUAGAUAUUGGGAGGAAUACCGGUGGCGAAGGCGACUACCUGGACGAAGACUGACGCUGAGGCGCGAAAGCGUGGGGAGCAAAC